UUUACAAUGAAGAGUUUGAUCCUGGCUCAGGAUGAACGCUAGCUACAGGCUUAACACAUGCAAGUCGAGGGGCAGCAUUUUAGUUUGCUUGCAAACUGAAGAUGGCGACCGGCGCACGGGUGAGUAACACGUAUCCAACCUGCCGAUAACUCCGGAAUAGCCUUUCGAAAGAAAGAUUAAUACCGGAUAGCAUACGAAUAUCGCAUGAUAUUUUUAUUAAAGAAUUUCGGUUAUCGAUGGGGAUGCGUUCCAUUAGUUUGUUGGCGGGGUAACGGCCCACCAAGACUACGAUGGAUAGGGGUUCUGAGAGGAAGGUCCCCCACAUUGGAACUGAGACACGGUCCAAACUCCUACGGGAGGCAGCAGUGAGGAAUAUUGGUCAAUGGGCGAGAGCCUGAACCAGCCAAGUAGCGUGAAGGAUGAAGGCUCUAUGGGUCGUAAACUUCUUUUAUAUGGGAAUAAAGUUUUCCACGUGUGGAAUUUUGUAUGUACCAUAUGAAUAAGGAUCGGCUAACUCCGUGCCAGCAGCCGCGGUAAUACGGAGGAUCCGAGCGUUAUCCGGAUUUAUUGGGUUUAAAGGGAGCGUAGGUGGAUUGUUAAGUCAGUUGUGAAAGUUUGCGGCUCAACCGUAAAAUUGCAGUUGAAACUGGCAGUCUUGAGUACAGUAGAGGUGGGCGGAAUUCGUGGUGUAGCGGUGAAAUGCUUAGAUAUCACGAAGAACUCCGAUUGCGAAGGCAGCUCACUAGACUGUCACUGACACUGAUGCUCGAAAGUGUGGGUAUCAAACAGGAUUAGAUACCCUGGUAGUCCACACAGUAAACGAUGAAUACUCGCUGUUUGCGAUAUACAGCAAGCGGCCAAGCGAAAGCAUUAAGUAUUCCACCUGGGGAGUACGCCGGCAACGGUGAAACUCAAAGGAAUUGACGGGGGCCCGCACAAGCGGAGGAACAUGUGGUUUAAUUCGAUGAUACGCGAGGAACCUUACCCGGGCUUAAAUUGCAACAGAAUAUAUUGGAAACAGUAUAGCCGUAAGGCUGUUGUGAAGGUGCUGCAUGGUUGUCGUCAGCUCGUGCCGUGAGGUGUCGGCUUAAGUGCCAUAACGAGCGCAACCCUUAUCUUUAGUUACUAACAGGUCAUGCUGAGGACUCUAGAGAGACUGCCGUCGUAAGAUGUGAGGAAGGUGGGGAUGACGUCAAAUCAGCACGGCCCUUACGUCCGGGGCUACACACGUGUUACAAUGGGGGGUACAGAAGGCGGCUACCUGGUGACAGGAUGCUAAUCCCAAAAACCUCUCUCAGUUCGGAUCGAAGUCUGCAACCCGACUUCGUGAAGCUGGAUUCGCUAGUAAUCGCGCAUCAGCCAUGGCGCGGUGAAUACGUUCCCGGGCCUUGUACACACCGCCCGUCAAGCCAUGAAAGCCGGGGGUACCUGAAGUACGUAACCGCAAGGAGCGUCCUAGGGUAAAACUGGUAAUUGGGGCUAAGUCGUAACAAGGUAGCCGUACCGGAAGGUGCGGCUGGAACACCUCCUUUCUG
This 1535-nucleotide ribosomal RNA is filed under the name Bacteroides ovatus. RNAcentral describes it as "bacterial SSU rRNA". It matches the Rfam family "Bacterial small subunit ribosomal RNA". The record is from RNAcentral. Lineage: Bacteria; Pseudomonadati; Bacteroidota; Bacteroidia; Bacteroidales; Bacteroidaceae.